ACGCAGCCCAAAUUGGGUGGUAAAUUUCGUCCAAGGCUAAAUAUUUGUGAGAGACCGAUAGCAAACAAGUACCGCGAGGGAAAGAUGAAAAGGACUUUGAAAAGAGAGUCAAAGAGUGCUUGAAAUUGUUGGGAGGGAAGUGAAUGGGGGUUGGCAAUGUGCCUUGGUUGCAUGUGGAACGGCGGUAAGCCGGUUGAUUGAACGACUCGAGGUGCGGGUCGAAGUUGAUUAAGGUGGUGAUUGUCUCUGAGGUUGUUGAUACGACCUUUUGAAUAUGUUUUGCCCCAUUGAUCAUUAUAGGAGUGUGCCUUUUUAGCGUUGCAGUUUUGCAGCUGACACUCCAGGCGUCGGCUUGUGGGCUCCUCAUUUAACC
Molecule: ribosomal RNA, 373 nt
Filed under: Phoradendron californicum
Lineage: Eukaryota; Viridiplantae; Streptophyta; Magnoliopsida; Santalales; Viscaceae
Description: eukaryotic LSU rRNA
Rfam family: Eukaryotic large subunit ribosomal RNA
Source: RNAcentral